GUUUUAAUAGUUUAUAAAAAACUUUGGUCUUGUAAACCAACAAUGAAUCAAUUUGUUCUUAAAACU
RNAcentral lists this transfer RNA (66 nucleotides) under Trapezia septata. RNAcentral's name for it is "tRNA-Thr". Lineage: Eukaryota; Metazoa; Arthropoda; Malacostraca; Decapoda; Trapeziidae. The record is from RNAcentral.